Long non-coding RNA from Homo sapiens (human), 387 nucleotides. Ensembl annotates it as long intergenic non-protein coding RNA 583. NCBI's taxonomy places the organism in Eukaryota, Metazoa, Chordata, Mammalia, Primates, Hominidae. The record is from Ensembl.
UCUCAAAAGGCCACAUGUAGAAUAUUCAAAAAGUGUUGAAGUUUCAAAAAUCUUCUAAUAUUUUAAAUGCCUAAUAGACAUAAAACAAAAGACCAAACUCUCCUGCCUGCUCAGCAGUACAUAUGGCUUUUGAAUAGCCACACUCAAAUGACAGCCCCUGUUCCCCAGUUCAAACUUUCUGAGACUGCAAGCCUACUUUGCAAGAGGAAAAUCUCCACAGCUAUGUCAUCUACCUGCUUAUAGGGUGUAAAAUUCAAUCUAUGACUAACAAAUCAAUAUUGUAAAUUAUAUUACUUGGAUACUCAUUUGUCUUACAUUUAUUUAUUUAGCCUGCUCUGUGGGUCAAAUAAGAGGAGAAUCUUAAUAAACAGUCUUACUACUAUUGAA